This 253-nucleotide ribosomal RNA is filed under the name uncultured Peptococcaceae bacterium. RNAcentral's name for it is "partial 16S ribosomal RNA". It matches the Rfam family "Bacterial small subunit ribosomal RNA", at positions 1130 to 1382 of the family's 1533-position model. The record is from RNAcentral. Lineage: Bacteria; Bacillati; Bacillota; Clostridia; Eubacteriales; Peptococcaceae.
ACUGGGCACUCUAGAAGAACUGCCGGUGACAAACCGGAGGAAGGUGGGGAUGACGUCAAAUCAUCAUGCCCUUUAUGUCCUGGGCUACACACGUGCUACAAUGGAUGGUACAGACGGAAGCGAAGCCGCGAGGUGGAGCAAAUCUGAGAAAGCCAUUCACAGUUCGGAUUGCAGGCUGCAACUCGCCUGCAUGAAGUCGGAAUCGCUAGUAAUCGCUGGUCAGCAUACAGCGGUGAAUACGUUCCCGGGCCUU